GAUGAACGCUAGCGGGAGGCCUAACACAUGCAAGCCGAGCGGUAUUGUUUCUUCGGAAAUGCGAGAGCGGCGUACGGGUGAGUAACACGUGUGCAACCUGCCUUUAUCUGGGGGAUAGCCUUUCGAAAGGAAGAUUAAUACUCCAUAAUAUAUUGAACGGCAUCGUUUAAUAUUGAAAGCUCCGGCGGAUAGAGAUGGGCACGCGCAAGAUUAGCUAGUUGGUGAGGUAACGGCUCACCAAGGCGAUGAUCUUUAGGGGGCCUGAGAGGGUGAUCCCCCACACUGGUACUGAGACACGGACCAGACUCCUACGGGAGGCAGCAGUGAGGAAUAUUGGUCAAUGGGUGCAAGCCUGAACCAGCCAUCCCGCGUGAAGGACGACUGCCCUAGGGGUUGUAAACUUCUUUUGUAUAGGGAUAAACCUACCCUCGAGAGGGUAGCUGAAGGUACUAUACGAAUAAGCACCGGCUAACUCCGUG
This 479-nucleotide ribosomal RNA is filed under the name uncultured bacterium. RNAcentral describes it as "partial 16S ribosomal RNA". It matches the Rfam family "Bacterial small subunit ribosomal RNA", at positions 28 to 507 of the family's 1533-position model. The record is from RNAcentral.